Drosophila melanogaster (fruit fly) is the source of this 107-nucleotide non-coding RNA. The record is from Ensembl. NCBI's taxonomy places the organism in Eukaryota, Metazoa, Arthropoda, Insecta, Diptera, Drosophilidae.
CUAUAGCGUUGUCUCUUGCGCAAAUUGCAUUUUCUCUCUGUUAACAUGUACACAUAAUUCCUGUAACAAAGGGCAUUUGCAAUGUGUGAGUCAGCAAACCGCAUCCG